GACGAACGCUGGCGGCGUGCCUAGUACAUGCAAGUAGGACGCACAGUUUAUACCGUAGCUUGCUACACCAUAGACUGUGAGUUGCGAACGGGUGAGUAACGCGUAGGUAACCUGCCUGGUAGCGGGGAUAACCUUUGGAAACCAUAACCAAUAACGCAUAAAAUUAAUUAUUUGAUUAUAAUUGAAUUAAAGAUGCAACUGCCUCACCUCCAGAUGGAACUGCGUUGUAUUAGCUAGUAGGUGAGGUAACGGCUCACCUAGGCGACGAUACAUAGCCGACCUGAGAGGGUGAUAGGCCACACUGGGACUGAGACACGGCCCAGACUCCUACGGGAGGCAGCAGUAGGGAAUCUUCGGCAAUGGACGAAAGUCUGACCGAGCAACGCCGCGUGAGUGAAGAAGGUUUUCGGAUCGUAAAGCUCUGUUGUAAGAGAAGAACGGGUGUGAGAGUGGAAAGUUCACCCUGUGACGGUAGCUUACCAGAAAGGGACGGCUAACUACGUG
RNAcentral lists this ribosomal RNA (504 nucleotides) under uncultured bacterium. Its description in RNAcentral is "partial 16S ribosomal RNA". It matches the Rfam family "Bacterial small subunit ribosomal RNA", at positions 28 to 507 of the family's 1533-position model. The record is from RNAcentral.